RNAcentral lists this ribosomal RNA (401 nucleotides) under uncultured bacterium. RNAcentral describes it as "bacterial SSU rRNA". It matches the Rfam family "Bacterial small subunit ribosomal RNA", at positions 359 to 775 of the family's 1533-position model. The record is from RNAcentral.
GGAUAUUGCACAAUGGGGGAAACCCUGAUGCAGCGACGCCGCGUGGGCGAAGAAGUAUUUCGGUAUGUAAAGCCCUAUCAGCAGGGAAGAAGAAAUGACGGUACCUGACUAAGAAGCCCCGGCUAAAUACGUGCCAGCAGCCGCGGUAAUACGUAUGGGGCAAGCGUUAUCCGGAUUUACUGGGUGUAAAGGGAGCGCAGGCGGCUUGGCAAGUCUGAUGUGAAAGGCUGGGGCUCAACCCCAGGACUGCAUUGGAAACUGUUAGGCUGGAGUGUCGGAGAGGUAAGCGGAAUUCCUAGUGUAGCGGUGAAAUGCGUAGAUAUUAGGAGGAACACCAGUGGCGAAGGCGGCUUACUGGACGACAACUGACGCUGAGGCUCGAAAGCGUGGGGAGCAAACAG